Non-coding RNA from Curvibacter sp. GWA2_64_110, 329 nucleotides. The record is from Rfam. Lineage: Bacteria; Pseudomonadati; Pseudomonadota; Betaproteobacteria; Burkholderiales; Comamonadaceae.
GAAGCCCGCCAGACCGCCGCUGGUGCAAUCUGGGAAACCAGGCACUGGAGGAACGUCCGGACUGCAUAGGGCAGCGUAGCAGCUAACAGCUGUCCACCGCGAGGUGAGGAUCAGAGCAACAGAGACGAGUCGCAGCGGGGCAACCUGCUGCGGGUGAAACGGGCAAUCUCUACGCGCAGCAAUACCAAGUAGGCACACGUUGACGGGGCCCCCGGAGUGUGCGGGUAGGUAGCACCGAGCCGGUGGGGCGACCCCCGGCCCAGAUUAAUGGCGGUCACACCGAGGGCAACCUCGGCGCACAGAAUCCGGCUUAUCGGCGGACUUCACAC